Molecule: ribosomal RNA, 292 nt
Filed under: uncultured Acidobacteriota bacterium
Lineage: Bacteria; Pseudomonadati; Acidobacteriota
Description: uncultured Acidobacteria bacterium partial 16S ribosomal RNA
Source: RNAcentral
GGACUACAGGGGUAUCUAAUCCUGUUUGCUACCCACGCUUUCGUGCCUCAGCGUCAGUAAUGGUCCAGCAAGCUGUCUACACCACAGGUGUUCCUCCUGAUAUCUACGCAUUUCACCGCUACACCAGGAAUUCCGCUUACCUCUCCCAUACUCAAGCAAUCCAGUUUUCGCCGCACCCUCCCAGUUAAGCCGGGAGAUUUCACGACAAACUUAGAUCACCGCCUACGCACUCUUUACGCCCAGUAAUUCCGAACAACGCUUGCUGCCUACGUAUUACCGCGGCUGCUGGCAC